CAUGAUGAGCUGUCAUAGCUUGGAUUGUAUAGCAGGUAGUCGCAGUCGCCUACAUUAAAUAAUUUUUUAAUGAAAAAGACCCAUUUUAAAAUGAGUCUUUACAACGUUAGGAAUGUUAUGAUUUCAACGAACUGU
The submitters of this non-coding RNA (135 nucleotides) gave its source as unclassified sequences. The record is from Rfam.